RNAcentral lists this ribosomal RNA (1491 nucleotides) under uncultured bacterium. RNAcentral's name for it is "bacterial SSU rRNA". It matches the Rfam family "Bacterial small subunit ribosomal RNA". The record is from RNAcentral.
AGAGUUUGAUCCUGGCUCAGGAUGAACGCUAGCUACAGGCUUAACACAUGCAAGUCGAGGGGCAGCAUGUUGUCAGCUUGCUGACAAUGAUGGCGACCGGCGCACGGGUGAGUAUCGCGUAUCCAACCUGCCCCAUACUUGGGAAUAGCCCUCCGAAAGGAGGAUUAAUGCCCGAUGUGGUCCAUUGAAGGCAUCUGAUUUGGAUUAAAGAUUUAUCGGUAUGGGAUGGGGAUGCGUCUGAUUAGGAAGUUGGCGGGGUAACGGCCCACCAAUCCAUCGAUCAGUAGGGGUUCUGAGAGGAAGGUCCCCCACAUUGGAACUGAGACACGGUCCAAACUCCUACGGGAGGCAGCAGUGAGGAAUAUUGGUCAAUGGCCGAGAGGCUGAACCAGCCAAGUAGCGUGCAGGACGACGGCCCUAUGGGUUGUAAACUGCUUUUAUGCGGGGAUAACGGACAUUACGUGUAGUGUUUUGCAGGUACCGCAUGAAUAAGGACCGGCUAAUUCCGUGCCAGCAGCCGCGGUAAUACGGAAGGUCCGGGCGUUAUCCGGAUUUAUUGGGUUUAAAGGGAGCGUAGGCCGCAUGCUAAGCGUGUCGUGAAAUGUCCUGGCUUAACCAGGGCCCUGCGGCGCGAACUGGCUUGCUUGAGUGCGCGGAACGUAUGCGGAAUUCGUGGUGUAGCGGUGAAAUGCUUAGAUAUCACGAAGAACUCCGAUUGCGAAGGCAGCAUACGGUAGCGUUACUGACGCUGAAGCUCGAAGGCGCGGGUAUCGAACAGGAUUAGAUACCCUGGUAGUCCGCGCGGUAAACGAUGGAUGCUCGCUGUUGGCGAUAUACAGUCAGCGGCUUAGCGAAAGCGUUAAGCAUCCCACCUGGGGAGUACGCCGGCAACGGUGAAACUCAAAGGAAUUGACGGGGGCCCGCACAAGCGGAGGAACAUGUGGUUUAAUUCGAUGAUACGCGAGGAACCUUACCCGGGCUUGAACUGCCGGCGAAUGAUUCAGAGAUGAAGAAGUCCUUCGGGACGCCGGUGGAGGUGCUGCAUGGUUGUCGUCAGCUCGUGCCGUGAGGUGUCGGCUUAAGUGCCAUAACGAGCGCAACCCCUGUUCUCAGUUGCCAUCGGUUAAAGCCGGGCACUCUGUGAAGACUGCCUCCGUAAGGAGUGAGGAGGGUGGGGAUGACGUCAAAUCAGCACGGCCCUUACGUCCGGGGCUACACACGUGUUACAAUGGGUGAUACAGAGAGUCGGGGUCCGGCAACGUACCUCUAAUCUUAAAAGUCAUCCUCAGUUCGGACUGGGGUCUGCAACCCGACCCCACGAAGCUGGAUUCGCUAGUAAUCGCGCAUCAGCCAUGGCGCGGUGAAUACGUUCCCGGGCCUUGUACACACCGCCCGUCAAGCCAUGAAAGCCGGGGGCGCCUGAAGUCCGUGACCGCGAGGGUCGGCCUAGGGUGAAACCGGUGAUUGGGGCUAAGUCGUAACAAGGUAGCC